This is a long non-coding RNA of Anolis carolinensis (green anole), 6721 nucleotides long. RefSeq lists it as uncharacterized. The record is from RefSeq and is a predicted model, not a curated record. NCBI's taxonomy places the organism in Eukaryota, Metazoa, Chordata, Lepidosauria, Squamata, Anolidae. The transcript is spliced from 2 exons.
AGGGAGGGAGGGAGGGAGGGGAGGCCGAGGAGGGCCCGGGCCUGGCCCACUCCCAGGCGGGCCUUCCUCUCUCGUUCUCUCCCUGGGAACACAGGCCACCACCGCUCUCUCUCUCUCUCUCUCUCUCUCUCUCUCUCUCUCUCUCUCUCAGCCAGGCCUGGGCAAGCUCCGGGCCUCCCUCCGGGGCGGGGUUUUGGACUCCAACUCCCAGAAGGCCUCCCCUCAGGCCCCGCAGGCCUCACCUUCACCUCCACCUCAAGACUGCGGAGAGAGAGAGAGAGAGAGAGAGAGAGAGAGCAAGGGACUGGGGAAGGGAGGUCAACAGACCAAGAGAAGGAAGGAAGGAAGGAAGGAAGGGCGCUCGGAAAGGGAGGGGCCCCCAGGGAUCAGCUGGCAUGGACAUUCACAACAGAGGGACAUGCAGACAAAGGGACAACAACAACAACAACAACAACAACAAGAUUUGUAUCCUGCCACCAUCUCCCCCAGAGGGGACUCGGCGUGGCUCACAGAAAGAUCCCAUACAAAACAGGAACAAUAUACAAGACAGCAAUCAACAAGAAGCCCUGCUUGACUCUCAAGCCAAAAGUGGGUGGUAGAAAUCACAUGGUACAAAAGCUGACUGGCACAACCUGGGGAUCCCAACCAGGCCCUGGAAAGACAGGCGCUUGGCUCCUCUGCUGCUGAAUUCACAGGCCCAGUGGGGAAGACAUCUCACCACGUUCAAACAGUGGACGUGGCUCUUCAUGAGACAUGCCGCACCGUCACAGGAUGUCUGCGCCCCACACCACUGGAGAAAUGAUACUGUUGAGUCCCUCUGGGGAGAGAGGGCAGUCUAGAAAUGAAAUGAGGAAAUGUGAUUUUUGGCUGAGAAUUUCGGAGUAGAGCCUGUGGAGGGAUUUCUUUCCCUUGAAAGAAAGAAUAGGAGGAAAAGCAUCUUGGAUACGGUUGGGUUCUUCACCAGAGUGGUUCCAACAUGGAGAGACCCAACUCACGUGGGCCUGAAGCAGGACCUGGGGGCAGUGGGGAAUCCUGGGAAAGAACCAGACAUGAGUCCCUGAGUGUGGACCUUGACAGAUCGGACACACAGCGCCAGCGCUUCAGGCAGUCCUCCUACCAAGAGGGUGAAGGACCCAGAGGGGUUUGCAGUCGUCUCCACGAUCUGUGCCGCCAGUGGCUGAAGCCAGAGCAGCACAACAAGGCCGAGGUGCUGGACCUGGUGACCCUGGAGCAGUUCCUGAGCAUCCUGCCCCCAGAGAUGGGGAGCUGGGUCCGAGAGUGUGGGGCAGAGACCUGUUCCCAGGCGGUGGCCCUGGCGGAAGGCUUCCUCCUGAGUCGGGCCGAGGACAAGGAGCAGGAAGGACAGGUGUGAGCAUUCCCUCUGGGUUUCACUAACCUGGGGACUGAUGGACAGGUUAAACGUACACCCUGCCUUUCUUCCAAGAUGGGACCGAUGUGGGGGAUAAGCAAGGCCCUGCUCCCUCGACCUCUCUCCCCACCUGCUCUGCCCCUCCAUCUCUACCCUCAGCUUGGUUGAUGCUCUGCUCAAGAUAGAACAUAGACAAUGAUGGGAGGGGGAGGGGGGCAUUGGUUCCAAACUAGGUUGCCAUCUCAGAGUUAUUCUUUCCAAAAAGGUCUAGAGGUCUGUGAUAUUUCUGAACUUUUCCCAAACUCCUUCUGGAAUGCUCUGUGCUCUUCCAGGCCCAUAAUAAUAACUCCAUGGAAGUCCCUGCACCAGAGGAAUCUCCACCAGACACCACCCAGAGUCUCAGGCAGAAGGAGCUGAAGCGGGAAGGAGACGGGGCUGCCGCCUUGCAGGGUGAGAAGGAACUCUUCUGGGAGUUUUGGGGGUUUGUGCCAGUGGAAAUCCCGCUUUGGGGGGAUGAUUGUACACCCACGGUUUGAGCUUCAGAAGGUGAAGUAUCAUUUGGCCUUGAGAUGGGUAUAUAUCUUAAACUCAUGUCCUUUGUGUGAUGUUUUAUGGACUUAAUAUGUAUUUUAUAGAAAGGCAGUUUUAAUGUAGAUCUUUUAUAGUUAUAUAUAUAUCUUUGUUGAAUUUUGACAAUGUUUGUGUUUUUAAAAUUAUGUUGUAACCUCCCUCGAACUGCAAGGAGAGGCGAGUAAGAAAUAAAAUUAUUAUUAUUAUUAUCAUUAUUAUUGUUAUUGUUAUAUGUACACAUUCAGUUGCUAGAGGUGUAACUUCAGUUUGAUUUGCAGUUUUCUUUCUUGCAAUAGGACUGAAAACGCAGCCUUCAGUGUCUUCCCAGGUGGGACCCUAAGCUGAGCCGAGCCCUGAAACUGAGCUGGAAGACAAACAGACGACAAAGAAUCACUUUAGUCAGUUGAACCACCAAGCCCAAUACUAGUUUCAUUCGAACAUCCUCACAGCACUGCUUGCGAGAUAAAGUCCUAAACCCUAACUCAUCGGUUUCUUUAUAGGACUGCAAUUGUCACCUCUGAGGCCUGUUUCUGUGACCAGCUUUCCACCCCUUGCUUUCUCUCCAGGGUCUGGAAUGAUGCUGUUGCCAAAUCCUCAGCCGUUUCUCCCCCUUUGCGAUGGAGUGGGACUGAGUCAGGUAAGCAGAAGGAUUCCUGGGAGAGGAGGACUGGGCCUGCUGGGGUGCCUUUGGUUCCAGGAUUAAUGGCCAAAUAUCUGUUGAAACAGACAAGAUGGAAUGCGUUUCCUUAGAAGUGAAAUACAGAAGGUACAAUUGCAAACCGUGCCAACAAGGAGGGAAAAAAUGAAGAGAGAACUAAAGAAACCAGAAUCGAUGUUCAAAGAAAUUUCAACGGAGCUAUGAUUGAAAAGGGCAUGGAAAUGGAAAGGGGGGGGGGAUCACCAAGGAAUGUAAACAAGUAAUCAGCAUAAGUAGGGAAAAAGUCUAACUCAGAAAAUGAGGUCAGAUGAAAAAAUGUGCCAAGAGUAGGGUCUGUGCCUGGAGAAGGUGGUGGAAUGCUAACCGGGGAUAGGCAAGAGUUAGAACAUGAUCUCCCAAAAGGAAAUGGGUAUUCUACCUGAGCAAGAUGGAGCAACUGGGGAAAUGCAACCCAAAAUGGGUAAAGAAGUGGUCCAGGAAUCCCAGUCUCCAGGGCCAGGUGAACUACAGCCAAGGGUAUUGAACUAACAGCAGUAAUCCCAGAACCACUGUCAAUCCUCUUUGUUCAUUUUUGGGAACAGGAGAAGUCCCAGCAGGCUGGAGGAGGCAAAAGUUGUCUCUGUCUCCAAGAAUGGACCAAAAAGAGGUCCCCUAACAAUGACCAUCCAGUUAUCUUGACUUGUCCCAUAAGCAGUUGGAGCAGCUGUUUAGACUCCCGAAUGUUUAUAAGGAGGAGAUCGUUUGAUGUGGAUCGAUAAUAGUUAUAGAGGGAGCGGAUCUGUUUGUUUGCUAUUAUGCACUCUUUAUCGAACCAAUUUUUGGAUCUGACCCUGGGUUGCCUUGGCAUUCUUUGCCAAUCGUAUAGUUUUUAAAAGAUAGGUUUUAUAAGGGAUUCAAACCCGGUGAUGCCUCCUCGAAAUCUGGGAUUUCAAUGAUCAUAGUUUCUAUGGACAACACUUCCUAAGAGUUCAAGAUAUCCAGGCACACCCCUUUUGUCUUAACGUUCCGCUUCAGCCUGGUGUAUUGUGGGUAGGCUUGUCCAGGUGGGGAAGUGCUGCUUCUCUCCAAAACCAGGAGAAGUGGGAGAUAGAUGAUCACUAAGCAAGGAAUUGUCUAUAGCAAAUGAAUCAAUGUCACUAGCUAUGGAGGAUGAAGUCAGAAGAUAGUCUAUGACACUAGAGCCCCUUGGUGAGACCAAUGUAUAUUCUCCAGAGUCAGGAAACUGAGUAAGUCCAUUUAGCCGAGACAGGUUGAGCUGCGUGGCCAUUUUGGUCAGGCACUUUCCGGCUUCAUUUCACGCUUGGUCCUUAGAGUGUCGAGCUUCUGGUGUCAGGAGAGAGUUGAAGGGAUCUUCCUCCAGGCCCUCUUCUCUCAACACAUUUAUUCAACUAGAUCCUACCCUUGCAUUGAAGUCACCCGUUAUCUUGACCUAAAUAACAGGAAAAAUGUUGGAGCAGAUCAUGAAGAAGGCCAUCUGGAAUCACUUGGGAAAAGUGCUGUAAUCACUGAAGGACAAGAUGAGUUUCUCCAAAACAAGUCAUGCCAGACUAAUGUACUUUUCAGUAGAGCUACAAGCUUGGUAGAGGAAGGAAAUGCAGUGGAUGUAGCACAUCUUGCUUUCAGUGAGACCUCUGGAAAGGCCUCCCAUGGUUUCACAAACAACUAGUAAAAAGUGGGCUGGAUAAUACUCCUGUUCGGAGGAUUUGUAAUGGUUUGAGCGACAAAGGGUGGAGUGUCGCAGGGUUCUGUCCUGGGCCCAGUACUGCUCAACAUGCGUAUCAGGUUUUCAGAUGACACCAAAUUAGCAGGGAUAGCUGACAGUCUAGAAGAUAGGAUCAGAAUUCAAAAUUCUGGCCUUAACAUGGUGGAGAGCUGGGCCAAAACUAACCCACUUAAUGUCAACAAGAAUAUAUGUAGAGUAGUACACUUAGGCAGGAGAGAAAUGCCAUGCACAGGUACAGGGUGGGCGACACCUGGCUUGACAGGCAUUCAUAUGAUGGGAUCUUGGAGUGUUAGAGGACUACAAGUGGAACAUGAGCCAACAAUGUGAUGCAGCAGCUGAAAGGACUAUGGGAUUUUGGGCUCCAUCCUAAGGAAUAUUGUGUCCUUCUUUCUGCUUUGGGGAGACCUCACCUGGAACAACACUGUGUCCAGUUCUGGGCACCACAAUAAAGGCUGGAACAUGCUCAGAUUCCAUUUCUGAUUCUACGUAUCAAUUGAGAAAUGGUUCUGACUGACCAACCCGUCAUCUCUAGAAAGCUUACAACUGUGGCAUGUAGGCCUUGGCCCUUUCCCUUUCAAACAACCAACAGGAAUGUAAAUCUACUUUAAAGAAUUUCUUGUUAUUCUUUUUCUUGAUCCCUCCCAUGUGAGAAGGGAAUCUUUUCUUCUUCCGCCAGGGCCCAAUCGCCUUUGAGGACGUGGCUGUGGAUUUCUCCCUGGAGGAGUGGGUUCUCCUGAAUCCGGACCAGAAAGCCUUGCACAAGCAGGUCAUGGAGGAGAUGAAUGGGAUUGUGGACUCUCUUGGUAAGGCUCCCUCACUGAUGGGGAUUUCUGUUUCAAAAGGCAGUAUUAUCCUAAAUCAUCACAGUCACUGAGGGUCUGCAAGGCAGGGCUUAUGUCAGAAAUAUGUGACAUAAGAGCAACAACAACAACAACAAUAAUAAUAUAACAUUAGUGCCAAUUCAGACUCAAGUGGGAAGAUUACCAUAACUGGAGUCAAAGCAUAUUCUCCCUCUCUCAAAUAUAUUAUAUAUUACUGUAUUUUAUAUUGUACAUUAUAUACACUAUAUAUAUGUAAUAAAUAUUAUAUUAUUAGCAUAGCAUGUUACUAGGGGGAGGGCCCCAGAGCAUCAGUUGGGCCUCCAACUGAUGGCACAGUAGACAAGAUGGAACUGUCUUCCUGGUUCCCCCUCUCUCCUAACGUUUCGCCCGUAUUUAUGGCAGGUAUCCUGAGAGGUGGGAGGUAUAUUGGAAACUAGGCUAGUGAGGUUUAUAGAUCUGUUUUUCCCAUAUACCUGACAACCUCUGAGGAUGCCUGCCAUAGAUGCAGGCAAACAUCAGGAGAGAAUACUUCUGAAACAUAGCCAUACAGCCCAGAAAACAUGGCCAUACAGCCCAGUGUUUACAAAAAACACUAACUACAUUUCUUAAUAGUCAAUGACUGGGUCUGAGCUACUCUCUGUUUCCAUCUCUUCUCGGAUUUAAAAGGGAGGGAAAAAUUCCAAGCCCUACAUCUCUCCUGAGACACAAGCAGAGAGAGGUCUCAAUGCACACAGCACACACGGAGAUAUAAAAGUCAGAAAUCUUGCACUAUUCUACAAAACUAAUCAGAAUGAGAGAAAGAGAGAAAGAAACAGAGAAAGAACAAAUAGAUACAUCCCAACUGUCAAUCAGGAGACAAGGGGGAGGGAUUCCCCCAGCCUGUUCUGAAACUAGCUCCCUGUUUCUCAUUGGGGACUGCAGACUUGAGCAGCGUGGGGUUGAAUCACAACAGAUGGAUCAGCAGCUCUUUCCUCUGGUCCAGUCUUGUCCUUCCUCCCAAACUGGGAUGGUGUGGAGGCCGUCUCUUCUCUCUCACGUGGGAUGUUACGUGGAUGCCACUCUAUCUGGCCAAGUCCUACAGACAUCCCUUUUUUGUUCCCUUUUCUGCCUUCAUCAUUGUUCUCCACCUUUUCUUUACUGUCACGGUUUUGCACGUUCACAGCUUUGUCAGGCAAAUCUAUCCCUUUGGAACUCAUAUUUACAGCCAACUUCCAUAAAGUGUAAGAGUCCCAUUUGGCAGUUGAUGGGAGAAGUGUAUCUGUAUUGUCAUGGGGCCAAUUCCCAGAGCUGAGUCUGCAAGCUCUGGAAUUGGAGCCAUAACAACAAGCACUCCUCGAUAGCUCAUGCAGACACCUGGCACCGGAGCAUGGGAACUUUUGGAGUGAGAAUCAAAACAGCUUUAAUGAAUAGUUGGUGUUGUAGUGGUAGUAAUGUGAUAUGUGGGGUGGGGUUUGGUGAUGAUAUUUACGUGUGGUGUGACGUUGUAGCAAAGGUGAUAAAAAUGAUUGUGUGUAAACAUUAUGUCAUUCUCGACUUUUCCAAAGUCGUGUGUUCUUCAAUAAAGAUUGGUUUUGAUAACA